This 493-nucleotide ribosomal RNA is filed under the name uncultured bacterium. Its description in RNAcentral is "partial 16S ribosomal RNA". It matches the Rfam family "Bacterial small subunit ribosomal RNA", at positions 27 to 507 of the family's 1533-position model. The record is from RNAcentral.
GAGUGAACGCUGGCGGUAGGCCUAACACAUGCAAGUCGAACGGCAGCACAGUAAGAGCUUGCUCUUACGGGUGGCGAGUGGCGGACGGGUGAGGAAUACAUCGGAAUCUACUUUUUCGUGGGGGAUAACGUAGGGAAACUUACGCUAAUACCGCAUACGACCUACGGGUGGAAGCAGGGGAUCUUCGGACCUUGCGCGAUUGAAUGAGCCGAUGUCGGAUUAGCUAGUUGGCGGGGUAAAGGCCCACCAAGGCGACGAUCCGUAGCUGGUCUGAGAGGAUGAUCAGCCACACUGGAACUGAGACACGGUCCAGACUCCUACGGGAGGCAGCAGUGGGGAAUAUUGGACAAUGGGCGCAAGCCUGAUCCAGCCAUACCGCGUGGGUGAAGAAGGCCUUCGGGUUGUAAAGCCCUUUUGUUGGGAAAGAAAAGCAGCAGGUUAAUACCCCGCUGUUCUGACGGUACCCAAAGAAUAAGCACCGGCUAACUUCGUG